Molecule: ribosomal RNA, 499 nt
Filed under: uncultured bacterium
Lineage: Bacteria
Description: partial 16S ribosomal RNA
Rfam family: Bacterial small subunit ribosomal RNA
Source: RNAcentral
GACGAACGCUGGCGGCGUGCCUAAUACAUGCAAGUCGAGCGAAGUUUUUCUGGUGCUUGCACUAGAAAAACUUAGCGGCGAACGGGUGAGUAACACGUAAAGAACCUGCCUCAUAGACUGGGACAACUAUUGGAAACGAUAGCUAAUACCGGAUAACAGCAUUAACUGCAUGGUUGAUGUUUAAAAGUUGGUUUUGCUAACACUAUGAGAUGGCUUUGCGGUGCAUUAGCUAGUUGGUGGGGUAAAGGCCUACCAAGGCGACGAUGCAUAGCCGACCUGAGAGGGUGAUCGGCCACACUGGGACUGAGACACGGCCCAGACUCCUACGGGAGGCAGCAGUAGGGAAUCUUCCGCAAUGGGCGAAAGCCUGACGGAGCAACGCCGCGUGAGUGAAGAAGGAUUUCGGUUCGUAAAGCUCUGUCGUUAGGGAAGAAUGAUUGUGUAGUAACUAUACACAGUAGAGACGGUACCUAACCAGAAAGCCACGGCUAACUACGUG